CCCAGUCAACCAGCACUCAACUCCGUUACAUUGAGAACAAAUAAUCCAAGGAGCAGCAGUGAGGGGAAAGGCAGGAGGAGGAUGCUGUUCUCUGAUGCAGAUGGGAAAGGCCUCUGGACUGGAGGUUGCCCUGUCCCACAGCAGUCCCCUUCUCCACGGUAUCUCUGUGCCUUGGAGGCAUCGCCAGGAUGGAGCUGUGCCAUGGGCUAACCACAGAGAGUCACAGCAGCAGGAUGGAGGUACAGCAGCACCGGAGUCACCCAUUGCCCUCUGGGCCCAGAUGUGCCUCAAGCUGCCCACUGGAGUCAGGGCGAAGUAAGGAAAGAUCUUGCAGGCCGGUUCGUACUGCGAGGCCAAAAUUACCCUCUGCAUAGGAACACCCCACAAGACCCUGCCAGAAUAAACUGUUUUUUCCUCCCA
Molecule: long non-coding RNA, 420 nt
Organism: Numida meleagris (helmeted guineafowl)
Lineage: Eukaryota; Metazoa; Chordata; Aves; Galliformes; Numididae
Exons: 2
Source: RefSeq, a predicted model, not a curated record